GCCAGACGGUGGUGCGCACCUGUAGUCCCAGCUCCAUGGGAGGCUGAGACAGGAGGAUCACUUGAGUCCAGGAGUUCUGGGCUGCAGUGUGCUAUGCUGAUUGGGUGUCUGCACUAAGUUCAGCAUUAAUAUGGUGACCUCCCCGGAGCAGGGGGCCACUAGGUUGCCUAAGGAUGGGUCAACUGGCCCAGGUCGGAAAUGGAGCAAGUCAAAACUCCCAUGCUUAUCAGUAGUGGGAUAGCCACUGCAUUCCAGCCUGGGCAAUAUAGUGAGACCCCAUCUCUU
Otolemur garnettii (small-eared galago) is the source of this 285-nucleotide non-coding RNA. The record is from Rfam. NCBI's taxonomy places the organism in Eukaryota, Metazoa, Chordata, Mammalia, Primates, Galagidae.